AUUUUGGCGAAGUUAAAAUAGCUUAAAGGUGACUAAAGAGAUCCCGAAGAACUAUGGGCUUUGAAGUAAAAGUGAUUUUGAGGAACCAUGCCAGCAUUUUGAGAAGUUUCAGUUUCAAAUACAUGAAAAGAAAAGGCUGAAGGGAUUCCUAGAACUGUAUUGCAGCUUGCAGUGCUGAAAUUUCAAAGACUUCAAGUAGGACCUGAGGGACCUGUAUGCUGUGGUUUUAGCCAGGAGAAAUACGUGGCACUGUCAAAAUAUUUGUGCAUGUUGUUAACUUCUGCCCUUCCUAAGAAUGCUUGUUGUAUAAAAUUAAGUCAAAUGUCCUCACCAAGGGAUUUGCCACCAUUUGUAAAUCGUGAGCUGAAUAUUUACCAGAAGAAGGCACUACUGAAUGUAGGGGAGGACUUACCAGCAGACACAUGGCACUGUGCUUGUGACACGGCCCUUCGGUGAGUCACGUGUGGAAUGCAGGUCUUUCCUGUGCAGAGGAGGUUUGGACCACUUUGGCCCCACAUGAAUAUUGUAUGAGCCUUGCACAGAGGAGAAGAUUGUCCUUCAGCACACAGCCUGCAUCUUCUGAAAUCAUGGUGCUGCUAAGUGAAGAAGAGAGACGAUGCAUGCUCCGCGAUCUGCAUGCAAGCUAUUUAUUCCUACAUUCUGGAAUUUUGGUUAUUUUCGUGAGCAAAUUAGCAUUUCCAUAACUCUAUAUCUGUUUUGAACAACCUCAGUAAACAACUUCAGAUUCCUCCUGUGUUGCUGUAGAGCAUUGUUCUUCUUCAGCAUGUUCCUCUCCAUAUAAAGUGACCUUAAUCUGUCUGAAUGCCAGGGGAGCAAUCACCAUCUGUUGAACACUUGUCAAAUGAACUAGUGACCUGCACUGAUGUAAUACCCUGCAACACCUGUGAACCGCUCAGCCAUAGCCACCCGGCCACUGAGUGACACGGAGCAAGAAGCAUCCACAACAGCUUGAAAGAAACUGGGUCGCUUUUUUGUAUACUUAAAAAAAAAAAAAAAAAGAAGCAAAAUUCCUUCUGAUAGCUGUGAAGGUGGAAGUAAUUUCAAGCCUUUAUUAAGCAGACUCUGAACUGUUAAUUCACAGAAAUGAAUACUGAAAUACUAGUCUGUUACCCAUUCAGUACUUUUACCACAUGAAAGAGGGCACCUGGGCUCAGAGGACUGAUGCACUGCUCGGUUUUCUCGAGUUGGAUAUUCUGGUAUUUCUGAUGCGUCUUGAAUAUGUAGAAGCAGGAAAACUUGUCUCAGUGAAUAAAAGCAACAGCAUUGAAAGGAGACAGAUGGUGUAUGUUACUGAAAAUGAACUACAGUUUGUUGUUCCCAAAGAGAGAGGUCCCUGCAAGGUAGAAGUGGUUUUAAAUGAGCCGUUGACAUAGAAAGUUGGAAAGCUCACGCCUCAGGUAAGUGAUCGUUCUAAUGGGAGCCUAACUCUGCAGUGACACCAAGAUUUUUUAGACCUGGUCCUUCUCCCGAAUGUGCAGUUACAGAUUGAAGCACUGCAGAAGCUGGAAGUCAGUACUGGGAAAUCYUUAGUCAGGAAGGCUCAGCUUCUGUGAAUUCAAGCGAAGAUGCUGCAGAGAUCUGCUUACACUCUUGCUUUGAACACUGGCAGUAGCUUUUGCACUGGUAUUUGCUAAUGCCUUUUUUGUUUUUAUUUCUCAUUUUAAAGUUGUCCCUUACAAAAAGGAGUUAUUUCAACUUUAUAAGAGGACUGUAAAUUAGUCUUGAGCUUGCUGUGCUCUGCACUGCGCAAUACUGAGGCCUUCCUUUUGUCUCUGAAACCACUUCACUUAAAUGGAGAUAAAUUUUGGGAAGGGACUGAAAGACUUGCUCUUCUGAAGUGCUGUUCAUUUACAGAAAGCUUUUUAGUAAGCUAACUCAUUGCUUCCAAAGUAAUUACCA
This is a long non-coding RNA of Nothoprocta perdicaria, 1920 nucleotides long. RefSeq lists it as uncharacterized. NCBI's taxonomy places the organism in Eukaryota, Metazoa, Chordata, Aves, Tinamiformes, Tinamidae. The record is from RefSeq and is a predicted model, not a curated record. The transcript is spliced from 5 exons.